CGUUAGCGGCGGACGGGUGAGUAACACGUGGGUAACCUACCUAUAAGACUGGGACAACUUCGGGAAACCGGAGCUAAUACCGGAUAAGAUAUCGAACCGCAUGGUUCGAUAGUGAAAGAUGGUUUUGCUAUCACUUAUAGAUGGACCCGCGCCGUAUUAGCUAGUUGGUGAGGUAACGGCUCACCAAGGCAACGAUACGUAGCCGACCUGAGAGGGUGAUCGGCCACACUGGAACUGAGACACGGUCCAGACUCCUAGGGAGGCAGCAGGG
This 271-nucleotide ribosomal RNA is filed under the name uncultured Staphylococcus sp. RNAcentral describes it as "partial 16S ribosomal RNA". It matches the Rfam family "Bacterial small subunit ribosomal RNA", at positions 90 to 354 of the family's 1533-position model. The record is from RNAcentral. Lineage: Bacteria; Bacillati; Bacillota; Bacilli; Caryophanales; Staphylococcaceae.